RNAcentral lists this antisense RNA (75 nucleotides) under Streptomyces yokosukanensis. Its description in RNAcentral is "ASpks TB sRNA". It matches the Rfam family "ASpks TB sRNA". Lineage: Bacteria; Bacillati; Actinomycetota; Actinomycetes; Kitasatosporales; Streptomycetaceae. The record is from Rfam by way of RNAcentral.
CUUGACCGAGCCCAGCAACAGCGGCCGCUCGGCGGGGUGUUCCUUGCCGUACGUCGCGAGCAGCGCCUGCGCCUC